AAGCUAAUUAGAUAAAUUUCCCCCUUUGGGAUUCUAUCCCGAGGGCUGUGCCUGUCUGAGGGUCGG
Molecule: ribosomal RNA, 66 nt
Filed under: Reptalus panzeri
Lineage: Eukaryota; Metazoa; Arthropoda; Insecta; Hemiptera; Cixiidae
Description: partial 5.8S ribosomal RNA
Source: RNAcentral